GACGAACGCUGGCGGCGUGCCUAAUACAUGCAAGUAGAACGCACAGUUUAUACCGUAGCUUGCUACACCAUAGACUGUGAGUUGCGAACGGGUGAGUAACGCGUGGGUAACCUGCCUGGUAGCGGGGGAUAACUAUUGGAAACGAUAGCUAAUACCGCAUAAUAUUAAUUAUUGCAUGAUAAUUAAUUGAAAGGUGCAAUUGCACCACUACCAGAUGGACCUGCGUUGUAUUAGCUAGUAGGUGAGGUAACGGCUCACCUAGGCGACGAUACAUAGCCGACCUGAGAGGGUGAUCGGCCACACUGGGACUGAGACACGGCCCAGACUCCUACGGGAGGCAGCAGUAGGGAAUCUUCGGCAAUGGACGAAAGUCUGACCGAGCAACGCCGCGUGAGUGAAGAAGGUGUUCGGAUCGUAAAGCUCUGUUGUAAGAGAAGAACGGGUGUGAGAGUGGAAAGUUCACACUGUGACGGUAUCUUACCAGAAAGGGACGGCUAACUACGU
RNAcentral lists this ribosomal RNA (504 nucleotides) under uncultured bacterium. RNAcentral describes it as "partial 16S ribosomal RNA". It matches the Rfam family "Bacterial small subunit ribosomal RNA", at positions 28 to 506 of the family's 1533-position model. The record is from RNAcentral.